This is a long non-coding RNA of Oncorhynchus kisutch (coho salmon), 4552 nucleotides long. RefSeq lists it as uncharacterized. Lineage: Eukaryota; Metazoa; Chordata; Actinopteri; Salmoniformes; Salmonidae. The record is from RefSeq and is a predicted model, not a curated record. The transcript is spliced from 2 exons.
UACAGGUUAGGAUAGGGGACAGGAUAGGGUACAGGUUAGGGUACAGGUUAGGAUAGGGUACAGGUUAGGGUUACAGGUUAGGAUAGGGGACAGGAUAGGGUACAGGUUAUGGUUACAGGGGACAGGUUACACGGUACAGGUUAGGGUUAGGGUUAGGAUAGGGGACAGGUUAGGGUUAUAGUGGACAGGUUAGGGUUACAGGUUAGGAUAGGGGACGGGUUAGGGUUAUAGUGGACAGUUUAGGGUUACAGGUUAGGAUAGGGGACAGGUUAGGGUUAUAGUGGACAGGUUAGGGUUACAGGUUAGGAUAGGGGACAGGUUAGGGUUAUAGGGGACAGGUUAGGGUUACAGUGGAAAGGUUAGGAUAGGAUACAGGUUAGGGUUACAGUGGACAUGUUAGGGUUACAGUGGACAGGUUAGGGUUAGGGUUAUAGUGGACAGGUUAGGGUUACAGUGGACAGGUUAGGGUUACCGUGGACAGGUUAGUGUUAGGGUUACAGUGGACAGGUUAGGGUUACAGUGGACAGGUUAGGGUUACAGUGGACAGGUUAGGGUUACAAUGGACAGGUUAGGGUUACAGUGGACAGGUUAGGGGUUAUAGUGGACAGGUUAGGGUUACAGUGGACAGGUUAGGGUUACCGUGAACAGGUUAGGGUUACAGUGGACAGGUUAGGGUUACAAUGGACAGGUUAGGGUUACAGUGGACAUGUUAGGGUUACAGUGGACAGGUUAGGGUUAGGGUUAUAGUGGACAUGUUAGGGUUACAGUGGACAGGUUAGGGUUAGGGUUAUAGUGGACAGGUUAGGGUUAUAGGGGACAGGUUAGGGUUACAGUGGACAGGUCAGGGUUACAGUGGACAGGUUAGGGUUACAGUUGACAGGUUAGGGUUACAGUGGACAGGUUAGGGUUACAGUGGACAGGUUAGGGUUACAGUGGACAAGUUAGGGUUACAGUGGACAGGUUAGGGUUACAGUUGACAGGUUAGGGUUACAGUGGACAUGUUGGGGUUACAGUGGACAGGUUAGUGUUAGGGUUAUAGUGAACAGGUUAGGGUUACAGUGGACAGGUUAGGGUUACAGUGGACAGGUUAGGGUUACAGUGGACAGGUUAGGGUUACAGUGGACAGGUUAGGGUUACAGUGGACAGGUUAGGGUUACAGUGGACAGGUUAGGGUUAGGGUUAUAGUGGACAGGUUAGGGUUACAGUGGACAGGUUAGGGUUACAGUUGACAGGUUAGGGUUAUAGUGAACAGGUUAGGGUUACAGUGGACAGGUUAGGGUUAGGGUAUAUGUUGGGGUGCAGGUUAGGCUACAGGUUAGGGUACAGGUUAGAUGUAGGGUACAGGUUAGGGUUACAGUGGAAAUGAAGAGGACAGCUCACAGAUAAUUUAAUGUUGUUAUCCAAUUGUCUUAAAUAACCAACUUCCUCAUUCUGCUAUUGUCCUCAUAAGUGACUAACUUGCUCAUUCUGCUGUUAUCCUCAUAAAUGAACAACUUCCUCAUUCUGCUGUUGUCCUCGUAAAUGAACAACCUCCUCAUUCUGCUCUUGUCCUCAUUCUGCUGUUGUCCUCCUAAGUGACUAACUUCCUCAUUCUGCUGUUGUCCUCAUUCUGCUUUUGUCCUCAUAAGUGACUAAAUUCCUCAUUCUGCUGUUGUCCUCAUAAGAGACUAACUUCCUCAUUCUGCUGUUGUCCUCAUAAGAGACUAACUUCAUCAUUCUGCUGUUGACCUCAUAAGAGACUAACUUCCUCAUUCUGCUGUUGACCUCAUAAGUGACUAACUUUCUCAUUCUGCUGUUGUCCUCAUUCUGCUGUUGUCCUCAUAAGAGACUAACUUCCUCAUUCUGCUGUUGACCUCAUAAGAGGCUAACUUCCUCAUUCUGCUGUUGUCCUCAUUCUGCUGUUGUCCUCAUAGGUGACUAACUUCCUCAUUCUGCUGUUGUCCUCAUUCUGCUGUUGUCCUCAUAAGUGACUAACUUCCUCAUUCUGCUGCUGUCCUCAUUCUGCUGUUGUCCUCAUAGGUGACUAACUUCCUCAUUCUGCUGUUGUCCUCAUUCUGCUGUUGUCCUCAUAAGUGACUAACUUCCUCAUUCUGCUGCUGUCCUCAUUCUGCUGUUGUCCUCAUUAAUGAACAACUUCCUCAUUCUGCUGUUGUCCUCAUUCUGCUGUUGUCCUCAUAAGAGACUAACUUCCUCAUUCUGCUGUUGACCUCAUAAGAGACUAACUUCCUCAUUCUGCUGUUGUCCUCAUUCUGCUGUUGUCCUCAUUCUGCUGUUGUCCUCAUAAGUGACUAACUUCCCCAUUCUGCUGUUGUCCUCAUAUGUGAACAAGUUCCUCAUUCUGCUGAUGUCCUCAUUCUGCUGUUGUCCUCAUAAGUGUCUAACUUCCUCAUUCUGCUCUUGUCCUCAUUCUGCUGUUGUCCUCGUAAAUGAACAACUUCCUCAUUCUGCUCUUGUCCUCAUAAAUGAACAACCUCCUCAUUCUGCUGUUGUCCUCAUAAUUGACUAACUUCCUCAUUCUGCUGUUGUCCUCAUAAAUGAACAACCUCCUCAUUCUGCUGUUGUCCUCAUAAAUGAACAACCUCCUCAUUCUGCUGUUGUCCUCAUUAAUGAACAACUUCCUCAUUCUGCUGUUGUCCUCAUUCUGCUGUUGUCCUCAUAAGAGACUAACUUCCUCAUUCUGCUGUUGUCCUCAUUCUGCUGUUGUCCUCAUUCUGCUCUUGUCCUCGUAAGUGACUAACUUCCCCAUUCUGCUGUUGUCCUCAUAUGUGAACAACUUCCUCAUUCUGCUGUUGUCCUCAUUCUGCUGUUGUCCUCAUAAGUGUCUAACUUCCUCAUUCUGCUCUUGUCCUCAUUCUGCUGUUGUCCUCAUAAAUGAACAACUUCCUCAUUCUGCUGUUGUCCUCAUUCUGCUCUUGUCCUCAUUCUGCUGUAGUCCUCAUAAGAGACUAACUUCCUCAUUCUGCUGUUGUCCUCAUUCUGCUGUUGUCCUCAUAAAUGAACAACCUCCUCAUUCUGCUGUUGUCCUCAUAAUUGACUAACUUCCUCAUUCUGCUGCUGUUCUCAUAAGUGACUAACUUCCUCAUUCUGCUGUUGUCCUCAUAAGUGACUAACUUCCUCAUUCUGCUGUUGUCCUCAUUCUGCUGUUGUCCUCAUAGGUGACUAACUUCCUCAUUCUGCUGUUGUCCUCAUUCUGCUGUUGUCCUCAUAAGUGACUAACUUCCUCAUUCUGCUGCUGUCCUCAUUCUGCUGUUGUCCUCAUUAAUGAACAACUUCCUCAUUCUGCUGUUGUCCUCAUUCUGCUGUUGUCCUCAUAAGAGACUAACUUCCUCAUUCUGCUGUUGACCUCAUAAGAGACUAACUUCCUCAUUCUGCUGUUGUCCUCAUUCUGCUGUUGUCCUCAUUCUGCUGUUGUCCUCAUAAGUGACUAACUUCCCCAUUCUGCUGUUGUCCUCAUAUGUGAACAAGUUCCUCAUUCUGCUGAUGUCCUCAUUCUGCUGUUGUCCUCAUAAGUGUCUAACUUCCUCAUUCUGCUCCUGUCCUCAUUCUGCUGUUGUCCUCGUAAAUGAACAACUUCCUCAUUCUGCUCUUGUCCUCAUAAAUGAACAACCUCCUCAUUCUGCUGUUGUCCUCAUAAUUGACUAACUUCCUCAUUCUGCUGUUGUCCUCAUAAAUGAACAACCUCCUCAUUCUGCUGUUGUCCUCAUAAAUGAACAACCUCCUCAUUCUGCUGUUGUCCUCAUUCUGCUGUUGUCCUCAUAGGUGACUAACUUCCUCAUUCUGCUGUUGUCCUCAUAAAUGAACAACCUCCUCAUUCUGCUGUUGUCCUCAUUCUGCUGUUGUCCUCAUAAUUGACUAACUUCCUCAUUCUGCUGUUGUCCUCAUUCUGCUGUUGUUCUCAUAAGUGACUAACUUCCUCAUUCUGCUGUUGUCCUCAUUCUGCUGUUGUCCUCAUAGGUGACUAACUUCCUCAUUCUGCUGUUGUCCUCAUUCUGCUGUUGUUCUCAUAAGUGACUAACUUCCUCAUUCUGCUGCUGUCCUCAUUCUGCUGUUGUCCUCAUUAAUGAACAACUUCCUCAUUCUGCUGUUGUCCCCAUUCUGCUGUUGUCCUCAUAUGUGAACAAGUUCCUCAUUCUGCUGUUGUCCUCAUUCUGCUGUUGUCCUCAUAAGUGUCUAACUUCCUCAUUCUGCUCUUGUCCUCAUUCUGCUGUUGUCCUCAUCAAUGAACAAUUUCCUCAUUCUGCUGUUGUCCUCAUAAGAGACUAACUUCCUCAUUCUGCUGUUGUCCUCAUAAGUGACUAACUUCCUCAUUCUGCUGUUGUCCUCAUAAAUGAACAACCUCCUCAUUCUGCUGUUGUCCUCAUAAGAGACUAACUUCCUCAUUCUGCUGUUGACCUCGUAAGAGACUAACUUCCUCAUUCUGCUUUUGUCCUCAUUCUGCUGUUGUCCUCAUAAGUGACUAACUUCCCCAUUCCCCAUUCUCAUAUGUGAACAACCUCCUCAUUCCCAUGUACUGUACAUCUAAUAAACAGAGUUAGUAAAGAUUUGUAUUAUC